GGGAGCUUGCUCCCUGAUGUUAGCGGCGGACGGGUGAGUAACACGUGGGUAACCUGCCUGUAAGACUGGGAUAACUCCGGGAAACCGGGGCUAAUACCGGAUGGUUGUUUGAACCGCAUGGUUCAAACAUAAAAGGUGGCUUCGGCUACCACUUACAGAUGGACCCGCGGCGCAUUAGCUAGUUGGUGAGGUAACGGCUCACCAAGGCAACGAUGCGUAGCCGACCUGAGAGGGUGAUCGGCCACACUGGGACUGAGACACGGCCCAGACUCCUACGGGAGGCAGCAGUAGGGAAUCUUCCGCAAUGGACGAAAGUCUGACGGAGCAACGCCGCGUGAGUGAUGAAGGUUUUCGGAUCGUAAAGCUCUGUUGUUAGGGAAGAACAAGUACCGUUCGAAUAGGGCGGUACCUUGACGGUACCUAACCAGAAAGCCACGGCUAACUACGUGCCAGCAGCCGCGGUAAUACGUAGGUGGCAAGCGUUGUCCGGAAUUAUUGGGCGUAAAGGGCUCGCAGGCGGUUUCUUAAGUCUGAUGUGAAAGCCCCCGGCUCAACCGGGGAGGGUCAUUGGAAACUGGGGAACUUGAGUGCAGAAGAGGAGAGUGGAAUUCCACGUGUAGCGGUGAAAUGCGUAGAGAUGUGGAGGAACACCAGUGGCGAAGGCGACUCUCUGGUCUGUAACUGACGCUGAGGAGCGAAAGCGUGGGGAGCGAACAGGAUUAGAUACCCUGGUAGUCCACGCCGUAAACGAUGAGUGCUAAGUGUUAGGGGGUUUCCGCCCCUUAGUGCUGCAGCUAACGCAUUAAGCACUCCGCCUGGGGAGUACGGUCGCAAGACUGAAACUCAAAGGAAUUGACGGGGGCCCGCACAAGCG
Molecule: ribosomal RNA, 874 nt
Filed under: Bacillus tequilensis
Lineage: Bacteria; Bacillati; Bacillota; Bacilli; Caryophanales; Bacillaceae
Description: bacterial SSU rRNA
Rfam family: Bacterial small subunit ribosomal RNA
Source: RNAcentral